This 301-nucleotide ribosomal RNA is filed under the name uncultured bacterium. Its description in RNAcentral is "partial 16S ribosomal RNA". It matches the Rfam family "Bacterial small subunit ribosomal RNA", at positions 509 to 807 of the family's 1533-position model. The record is from RNAcentral.
CAGUAGCCGCGGUAAUACAGAGGGUGCGAGCGUUAAUCGGAUUUACUGGGCGUAAAGCGUGCGUAGGCGGCUUCUUAAGUCGGAUGUGAAAUCCCUGAGCUUAACUUAGGAAUUGCAUUCGAUACUGGGAAGCUAGAGUAUGGGAGAGGAUGGUAGAAUUCCAGGUGUAGCGGUGAAAUGCGUAGAGAUCUGGAGGAAUACCGAUGGCGAAGGCAGUUAUCUGGCCUAAUACUGACGCUGAGGUACGAAAGCAUGGGGAGCAAACAGGAUUAGAUACCCGAGUAGUCCCUGUCUCUUAUAC